AGAACUUACAAAAGAAACAUAAAAAAAUCAUAAAUUAAUCUUAAAGAAAUAUAUAUAGCAAAAGAAUCCUAAAAAAAUAUCAAAGAAAUAUUUAAUAAUACUAAAAAUAAAAAUUAAUUAAAUCCUAAUCAAGUCUUAAUAUAAUCUUCAAAAAAUCUUUAAAAAAUUCUAUCAAACUCUAAUUAAAUCUUAAACCAAUUCUAUUUUAAAAAAAUUAAAUUCUAAUUAAAUUCUAAACAAAUCCUAAACAAAUCUUAAAUAAAUCUUCACCAAAUUCUAAUCAAAUUCUAAUAAAAUCUUAGACCAAAUCCUAAUCAAAAUCCAAUCAAAUCCUAAAUCUUAUAUUCUAACCAAAUCCUAAUAAAAUCUUAAUCAAAACUUAAUCAAAUUUUAAUAAAAAAUUAAUAAAAUCUUAAUAAAAUCUUAAUCAAAUUCUAAUAAAAUUCUAAUUAAAUCUUAAAUCCUAA
RNAcentral lists this long non-coding RNA (467 nucleotides) under Physcomitrium patens. RNAcentral describes it as "long non-coding RNA (PPAT_LNC002547)". Lineage: Eukaryota; Viridiplantae; Streptophyta; Bryopsida; Funariales; Funariaceae. The record is from RNAcentral.